This 1018-nucleotide ribosomal RNA is filed under the name Bacillus sp. (in: firmicutes). Its description in RNAcentral is "bacterial SSU rRNA". It matches the Rfam family "Bacterial small subunit ribosomal RNA", at positions 57 to 1057 of the family's 1533-position model. Lineage: Bacteria; Bacillati; Bacillota; Bacilli; Caryophanales; Bacillaceae. The record is from RNAcentral.
GCAAGUCGAGCGAACAGAAGGGAGCUUGCUCCCGGAUGUUAGCGGCGGACGGGUGAGUAACACGUGGGUAACCUGCCUGUAAGACUGGGAUAACUCCGGGAAACCGGAGCUAAUACCGGAUAGUUCCUUGAACCGCAUGGUUCAAGGAUGAAAGACGGUUUCGGCUGUCACUUACAGAUGGACCCGCGGCGCAUUAGCUAGUUGGUGGGGUAAUGGCUCACCAAGGCGACGAUGCGUAGCCGACCUGAGAGGGUGAUCGGCCACACUGGGACUGAGACACGGCCCAGACUCCUACGGGAGGCAGCAGUAGGGAAUCUUCCGCAAUGGACGAAAGUCUGACGGAGCAACGCCGCGUGAGUGAUGAAGGUUUUCGGAUCGUAAAGCUCUGUUGUUAGGGAAGAACAAGUGCGAGAGUAACUGCUCGCACCUUGACGGUACCUAACCAGAAAGCCACGGCUAACUACGUGCCAGCAGCCGCGGUAAUACGUAGGUGGCAAGCGUUGUCCGGAAUUAUUGGGCGUAAAGGGCUCGCAGGCGGUUUCUUAAGUCUGAUGUGAAAGCCCCCGGCUCAACCGGGGAGGGUCAUUGGAAACUGGGAAACUUGAGUGCAGAAGAGGAGAGUGGAAUUCCACGUGUAGCGGUGAAAUGCGUAGAGAUGUGGAGGAACACCAGUGGCGAAGGCGACUCUCUGGUCUGUAACUGACGCUGAGGAGCGAAAGCGUGGGGAGCGAACAGGAUUAGAUACCCUGGUAGUCCACGCCGUAAACGAUGAGUGCUAAGUGUUAGGGGGUUUCCGCCCCUUAGUGCUGCAGCUAACGCAUUAAGCACUCCGCCUGGGGAGUACGGUCGCAAGACUGAAACUCAAAGGAAUUGACGGGGGCCCGCACAACCCGUGGAGCAUGUGGUUUAAUUCGAAGCAACGCGAAGAACCUUACCAGGUCUUGACAUCCUCUGACAACCCUAGAGAUAGGGCUUUCCCUUCGGGGACAGAGUGACAGGUGGUGCAUGGUUGUCGUCA